UGACACGUUCGGAAUGGUCGGGAUAGCUCA
Molecule: transfer RNA, 30 nt
Filed under: Ceriops zippeliana
Lineage: Eukaryota; Viridiplantae; Streptophyta; Magnoliopsida; Malpighiales; Rhizophoraceae
Description: partial tRNA-Phe
Source: RNAcentral